Long non-coding RNA from Oncorhynchus tshawytscha (Chinook salmon), 727 nucleotides. Lineage: Eukaryota; Metazoa; Chordata; Actinopteri; Salmoniformes; Salmonidae. The record is from Ensembl.
AUACAGGGGGUACCAGUACAGAGUCAAUGUGGAGGCUAUAUACAGGGGGUACCGGUACAGAGUUCAUGUGGAGACUAUAUACAGGGGGUACCGAUACAGAGUUAAUGUGGAGAUUAUAUUCAGGGGGUACCGGUACAGAGUUAAUGUGGAGGCUAUAUACAGGGGGGUACCAGUACAGAGUCAAUGUGGAGACUAUAUACAGGGGGUACCAGUACAGAGUCAAUGUGGAGACUAUAUACAGGGGGGAGUCAAUGUGGAGACUAUAUACAGGGGGUACCGGUACAGAGUUAAUGUGGAGACUAUAUACAGAGGGUACGGUACAGAGUCAAUGUGGAGGCUAUAUACAGGGGUACCGGUACAGAGUCAAUGUGGAGACUAUAUACAGGGGGUACUGGUACAUAGUCAAUGUGGAGACUAUAUACAGGGGGUACUGGUACAUAGUCAAUGUGGAGACUAUAUACAGGGGGUUCCGGUACAUAGUCAAUGUGGAGACUAUAUACAGGGGGUACCGGUACAGAGUUAAUGUGGAGACUAUAUACAGGGGGUACCGGUACAGAGUCAAUGUGGAGGCUAUAUACAGGGGGGUACUGAUACAGAGUUAAUGUGGAGACUAUAUACAGGGGGGUACCGGUACAGAGUCAAUGUGGAGGCUAUAUACAGGGGGUUCUGGUACAGAGUCAAUGCGGAGACUAUACUCAGGGGGUACCACUACAGACUCAAUGUGGAG